This is a long non-coding RNA of Cygnus atratus (black swan), 409 nucleotides long. RefSeq lists it as uncharacterized. NCBI's taxonomy places the organism in Eukaryota, Metazoa, Chordata, Aves, Anseriformes, Anatidae. The record is from RefSeq and is a predicted model, not a curated record. The transcript is spliced from 3 exons.
CACCAAGUGUUGUCUUGCAGGCUUUUGGAAGAGAAGUUGCUGGGCACCUCUAGGCAGUAACUGAAAUAACUUCUUUCCUUUCUGAGGGUGAUACAGGUGGUCCUUCCUGGUGUGGUACAGCAAGAGUAAAAUUCACUUAUGUAAUCAGCAAAGCUACCUUGCACGUCACACCAGUUCAUGAAACGGUUUCACAAGGGACUGGUGACCAUCCUAAUUGUCUUGACCUUCCAAAGUGCAGAUGAAUUUGGAGACAUGGCCUGUUAUAAUACCACUUCCAUUAAACACUGGAAGCUUGAAUUUUUGAAAAAAAAAAAAUCACACAAACAUACUGCUCCUAAUCCAAACAGAGGGGUUAUGAACUGAACCUUCAAACAGAAACUUUCAAUAUUUGGCUUCUCAGCUCAGUAGC